GAUGAACGCUGGCGGCGUGCCUAAUACAUGCAAGUCGAGCGAACGGACGAGAAGCUUGCUUCUCUGAUGUUAGCGGCGGACGGGUGAGUAACACGUGGAUAACCUACCUAUAAGACUGGGAUAACUUCGGGAAACCGGAGCUAAUACCGGAUAAUAUUUUGAACCGCAUGGUUCAAAAUUGAAAGACGGUCUUGCUGUCACUUAUAGAUGGAUCCGCGCUGCAUUAGCUAGUUGGGAAGGUAACGGCCUACCAAGGGAACCGUGCCAAGCCGGCCGGGAAGGGGUGUCGGCCACACUGGGACUAGACAACGGUCCAAAACCCCAGGGGGGGCACCAGUGGGGAAACUUCCGCAAUGGGCGAAAGCCUAACGGGACAAGGCCCGGGAGGGGAUGAAGGUCUUCGGAUCGUAAAACUCUGUUAUUAGGGAAGAACAUAUGUGUAAGUAACUGUGCACAUCUUGACGGUACCUACUCAGAAAGCCACGGCUAACUACGUG
This 497-nucleotide ribosomal RNA is filed under the name uncultured bacterium. Its description in RNAcentral is "partial 16S ribosomal RNA". It matches the Rfam family "Bacterial small subunit ribosomal RNA", at positions 28 to 507 of the family's 1533-position model. The record is from RNAcentral.